UACAGAGGAGCCAAGCGUUGUCCGGAUUGACUGGGCGUAAAGCGCACGCAGGCGGUCGCGCGCGUGGGGUGUGAAAUCUGGCCGCUUAACGGCCAGGCGCCAUCCCAUACGGCGCGACUGGAGUGAUGCAGAGGUCGGUGGAAUUGCCGGUGUAGAGGUGAAAUUCGUAGAUAUCGGGAGGAACACCUGUGGCGAAGGCGGCCGACUGGACGAUCACUGACACUGAGACGCGAAAGCGUGGGUAGCAAACAGG
Molecule: ribosomal RNA, 253 nt
Filed under: uncultured bacterium
Lineage: Bacteria
Description: partial 16S ribosomal RNA
Rfam family: Bacterial small subunit ribosomal RNA
Source: RNAcentral